GUUUAUAUAAUUUAAAUAAGAUAUUA
This 26-nucleotide transfer RNA is filed under the name Aneides flavipunctatus (black salamander). RNAcentral describes it as "partial tRNA-His". The record is from RNAcentral. Lineage: Eukaryota; Metazoa; Chordata; Amphibia; Caudata; Plethodontidae.